AUGCUUGUAAAGCAAGGCUGGAGGCUACUGCAAGAACCUGAUUCCUUGAGUGCGAGGAUCCUACGUGCAGUUUACUAUCCGGAUGGAGAUGUUCUUACAACUGAACUUGGUAGUCAUCCAUCCCAAGGUCUAAUCAGUAGGGUGGGGGAUGGCCAAAAUAUCAAGAUAUGGAAUGAUAACUGGCUACCGAGGGACAAUCUUUUAAGAGCUCUCCAUCCAAAAUCUGCUGACCCUCCAGAAUAUGUGUGCGAGUUGAUAGAUGCUGCAACAAAAUCCUGGGACUUCUAUAAGGUUAAUGAUCAUUUUUAGCCUCUGGACGCAGAGGUCGUUCUGAAGAUUCCGCUGAGCACAAGGAACGCUACAGACAGUUGGGUGUGGCACUACGAGCGGGCUGGUAUCUUCUCCGUCCGCUCGGCCUACAGACUUUUGGUUGACACGAAAAGAAGGAGAGAAAAUUGGCUUGAGGGCCGGUCAACUACGUCGGACUUGUCUGCUACUCAAGGGGAAUGGAAGAUUCUUUGGAGGGUAAAGGUUCCAAGUGCAGUGAAACAUUUUGCUUGGCGUUUGGCUAUGAACUCUGUCCCUACAGAAUCCGUUCGACACCAUCGCAACAUGGCUGACACGGCGGUCUCCCUGAUCUGCAACAGAGCGGAGGAUUCUUGGCGGCCCGCUCUACUGGACUGCAACAUGGCAAAAUGUGUAUGGGCUCUCAUGGAUGACCAACUGGUU
RNAcentral lists this ribosomal RNA (729 nucleotides) under Triticum aestivum (bread wheat). RNAcentral describes it as "partial small subunit ribosomal RNA". The record is from RNAcentral. Lineage: Eukaryota; Viridiplantae; Streptophyta; Magnoliopsida; Poales; Poaceae.